ACGCGGCGCUUCGACGGCUCGAACAGAAUCCAGCGCCAGUUAGGGGAUCCAAGGGGCCCCACGACCGGGAAGGGGCACGAGACUCUCGCGUCCCUCGCGCCCCUCGCGCGAGUCCCCCUGCCCCCGAGCGUCCCAGAGGCAUGGCCCGGGCUCACGUCGGCGGUCGGAGCGGCGUCCCGGGCUCCUCCGCGCGGCCCUGAGGUGAGGCGAGGCGCCGGGGUUGGCAUCUGGGUGUCGGCCCCCACCCCGCCCAGCCCGACCUGCCCGGGCCGUCCGGGGCUCUGUGCCCCGCGCCCCGACGCCGGCCGCCCGUUCCUACCUGCGGCCCGGGCUGCGCCGCCCGAAGCGGGCGCCGCGCGGGCAGCUCGGCCGCUCCGGUGCGCUCCGGGCUCGGGCCGCGCUGCGCUCCCGGCUCCUCCGCUCCUCGGCUCCUCCGCUCGGCGCGGCUCGCCCGCAACCUCGCUCGGUCUUCCGAGGGCGGGCGGAGGCACGCGGGGAAGGGGCAGGGCGGGGGAGCGAGGGAGCGAGGGAAGGAGGGCGGGAGCGCGCGCGGGCGGGGGGGGCGGGGCGCUGCUCCGGGAGCCCGCCCAGCCCGGGGAGGGGCGCCGCCCGCCGCCCGCCCCCCGCCCGCGCUACCCCCGGCCCGCGCCGCGCGCUCCCCACGCGGCCGCCGCCCCGCGGCCUCCCCGCCGGCAGCUUCCACCGCUGGCCGUCGCCACUCUCUCUGCCUUCCCCUCCUCUGCCCCGUUCUCUGUCCAUCCCGACUUCCAGUUCUCCCCUCUCCUUCUCCCCGUCUCCUUUCCUUCUCUCCCUCCUCCCUCCCUCCCUCCCCCUGCCAGCCCACCCCCCAUGUCUCCCCCCCCCCCCCACCCCCCCCCCCCCCCCCGCCUCCCGCUCCCUUCUCCCCCUCCUCCUCCUCCCAUUCCUUCCCUCCUGCUCCUUCGGUCUGUUGGCCUCUUCCCUGCCUUGGCCUGGGGUCCUCAGCCUGCCUGUGUUGGUCUCUGUUUCCCAGUCCCUUUCAACCCGUAUUUCCCUCUUGGCUUUUCUCUUUCCAGCCUUACAGUCUGCUUCUGUUGGUCUGUCCUUUUUGUUUUUCUCUGGCACCCACUUCUCUCUGUAGGUCAUAAGGCCCGGCCAUUGUGGGUGGCGGUGAUGGUGGACUCCUACCCCUCCUCUGCUCUCCCCCCAGGGCAGCCUCCCGCGCUGUUAGGAGGGGACCACAACUUCUGA
This 1230-nucleotide long non-coding RNA is filed under the name Felis catus (domestic cat). Its description in RNAcentral is "lncRNA (ENSFCAG00000046923.1)". The record is from RNAcentral. Lineage: Eukaryota; Metazoa; Chordata; Mammalia; Carnivora; Felidae.